UUCAGUUUAUCUCAUUUGAUCCCACUUUCAGUCUUUUAUCUCAUUUUUAAUUUAUUAUCAUUUCAGUUUAUUUUCUUGGUCAUAAAAAGAGAAAUAGGUGAGUUCUCAAUUCUCUGUGGAUUCGAUCCUUUCACCAUUAUCUACAGUUGUAAAUUGUUGAUAACCAGAAAUGUUAUUGUUGACCGGCUUCGACAACCGCGAGUCAAAAAUUGGCGCCGUUGCCGGGGAAUUGAUUUAACUUGUUUAUUUUUCUUUCAUGACCAGAUCUAAAAAAAAAAAAAGAAAGAAAAAGAGAGCACUCUAUCACAGAAUUGAUUCAUGGAUGAGGUAUGUACAUCUACUUUUUCCUCUCAACUUUCUGAACAGACAUCUGUUGUGAAAAGUUAUGUCAUAGGCCGAGCCCAUCAAACUCAACAAAUUCAGCCACCUAGGCCAUGUGGGACCAACGCAUAUGUAGGACAUCCAACUAAUCAAUAUCCUAUACUUUAUGAGGAUGACCAACCAGUACAUGCACUUGGAGGAUUCAAUAGUCAGCCUAGACAUGAUCCAUACUCUAACACAUACAAUUCAGAUUGGAGAGACUCUCCAGACUUCAGUUAUGCAAGGGGUAACAAUUACCAGAACUAUCAGAGAGACGAACCCUAUGCUGACACAUACAAUCCAGGUUGGGGAGACUAUCCAGACUUCAGUUAUACAUGGGCUAACGACUACCAAAAUUAUCAAGAAAAUCAAGCCCAAGAAGCACCUCCCAGUUCCACUAUGCACCUUGAGAAGAUGAUAGAGACAUUGGCUAAUUCUGUGGAAGGUCUCCAAACACAGAUGGGACAAAUGGCCAUCUCAUUAAGUGCAAUCAUGUUAAAAAGAGAGGAAGAGCUUCAAGAUGUAUGGGAUGAUGAUGAAAGUUCACAAGUUAAAAAACAAGCUGCUGAAGAAACAUAACCAGAAAACUAUUUGUCCAAACAAACUGGUCAAACAGAACCUGUUGAUAGUUUAGACGUCAUUGAUUGUUUGAACAAUGAUGUUUUUUAUAUGAAUCAAUAUGAUAUCCUGAACAAUGAUCUUUGCAGGAAAGAGAACCAGAAAGAGCCAGAACUAAAAGAAACUGACUGUUGCAUCCAACAAGUGGACUACAGCUAUGCGCAGAAUAAAGGAAGCUCAAUCGUACCUCUUCAAAUGAGUUCGCAGAAGAGCCUUGCACAGACAGAGGACAUCCAAACCGAACCGCUUCAGCUCCCAUCACAGGACAAUCCCACCAUUCUCCCAUUUCAGAAGGGCAUUGCGCAAACUGAAGCACCUCCAUGCGCAUCCUUUCAGCUUCCAAUGCAUGUGAGCUCUCCCAGUCCUCCCUUUCAGUCCAAUCUUGCGCAGAAGGAGGAAACUGAAACCAAUUCAGCCAUAGAUCCAACGCAAACAGUCCAUGCUCACAAGGAAAAACUGGUAUUCCAAGCAUCUAAACCAAAGGACCAUGCAGAUCAAUGCCUUCCCAAACCUCCGGAUAAGGUAGAGUUUGUUUUGCCUGAAUUCAAUACUAAAUUGCAGCUAGCUAUGGAGAAAUAUGAAUUGAAGUUGGAAGUGCAUAAAAAUGCAAACAUAAGGGCUAGAGGCACAUCUCAUCUGAAAGAGGAAAGGCUAAUCAUGUUAAUUCAUGAGUACAUGGAGAAAAUAGGAUGGGCGAUGACCAAAUCACAAGGAGUGCUACACUUUUUACUCAAUGCAGUUGGGACCUUUUUCCCUUCUCCAAUUACUUGAGCCUUGAUCAAAUGGAUCACACCAUGCACACCACACCCAGGGGAGUACUCAGUUUCUUUUGCAUUUUAAUAUUUCCUAUACAUUGAGGACAAUGCAUGAUUUAGGUGUGGGGGUGCAUAUUUCUAAAUUUUUAAUUUUUGCUUUGAUUUUCAGUUUGAAUUUUUAUUUUCAUUUUCAGUGUGAUUUUUUCAAUUUUUCAUUUUGCUUUCAAUAACACACACAGACAGGCACAAUUUUUAUUUAUUUAUUUUGUUUCCGUUUUUGAGAUGCUUUACUCAUCAUAUAGACUAUGUUGGAUGAGUUUUCUUUCCAUGACCCCAUUGAUGUGAUGACUCUUUAAACUUAUAUUGAAUCAAUUGCAGUGAGUUAUAUUCAUAUUUGAGAAUUACCUUUUGAAUUGAAUCUUUGAGUUUGCCAUGGUGAAAAAUGUAUUGAUGACACUCAUUAGAGAGAAUGAAUUGAAAUUAUGUGAAUGAACUUAACUUGACUUGAUUUAGCAAUUGGUGUUGAUUUGCCCAAAUCAUUGAGAGAAAGAAAUUCACAAAGGCUUAGACUUCAAAAGCACAAAUUGAAAACUAUUUCAAUGGUCAAAAGACUAUAAACAGAGCUAGUAGCCACUUGGAUAGGUGACCAACUGAGUAACUGGGGGUGGGUAUCACAAAUAUGUACCUUCACGUCAAAAGGUUGGUGACUUGUUCAAGCAAAAUUAAAAGUGCAAAAAGCUGAAUAAAGUACUUCAAGGUAAGGGCAAGUCACUCUGAAAGCUAGAAAAAGUCUUAUCUGAACAAUUAAUAUGUGCAUGCAUGAUCUCUCUCUUGAGUAAAACAAAUCCUAGCCAUGGUAAGUAAAGGGAAACAAGGAAAGAAGGUGAGUAAUCUUCAUGCAUAUAUUCUUUACUGCAAUGAUUCAAAAUAGGGGUCUAGAGUAAGAGCUUAAGUGGAAAUAAGGAUCUAGAGUGAGAAAGCUUGUUUGACUAUGUUUAUUUGCUUGAGGACAAGCAAAAGGCUAGGUGUGGGGGUAUUUGAUAGAGCAUAAUUUAGUCCAUUUUAUAUUAAUAUUAUUGAUGAAUAUUUACAUGAUUUCUGCUUAAUUUAGUGCUUUUAAUAUUAUUUUGCAGAAAAUGGUGUAAAAGGACAAUUUGGAGAAAAUCUCCCUAAAACUGCCUUAUUUGGAGCAAAAGAGAGCAAACCUGCCAAGUUGGAUUCAAGUCAAGCUAAAUGAGGAAAAUAUUUUGAACUUUAAAUCUUCAAGCACUUGGGCCAAGUACAUGGACCAAACUCACGCAAUGGACCCGCCAAAGCAAGCUCACGCAUAUGGACUCCACUUCACCCAUUCCAGCGCACUUGGACACAUGCACACGGCCCAUUCCCGCACAUUCACGCGCACGUGAAUCAAGCUCACUUCACGUGGACCAAACUCCCGCACUUGGGCCCGCUUGUGGACCCAAAAACCCCCUAAAACACCUCAAAACAAUCAUGCAAAACAUGCAAAGGAAGGCUGAACAGGGCACUUUCGGCGGCAGGUUUGGCGGCCGAAAGUCCCUCCAGAGCCGAAAGUCAGGCAGGUUCGGCGGCACCUUCGGCGGCACCUUCGGCGGCCGAAAGUGCCCUCCAGAGACGAAAGUCCAUUUUCGGGGGCAUGCUUCAGCAGCCGAAAGGCUUGCCUCCCAAGCAGGUUUGGCGGCCGAAACUCCUUCGGCUGCCGAACCUAGUUUCUGCCAAAAGGGCAGAAACUCGGCUCACACAUGCACAAACGCCUCCCAAACAUUCAAUCAUGCAUACCACUCAACCAAAACAUGCAUAAACACAUAUUGCACAUGGACCAGCGCUCUUCAUCAAUCUCGCAUACGUGGACGGCCCACCCUUGCAAAGAAGACAAACGCAUUGUCAAGCACUUGGACCCGCCACUCACACUCAACACUCACACAGCCCACUCACGCCAAUUCUCCCGCACAUGGGACAUCAACACACGUGGACAGCAAUUGCCAAAUUAGGGCGCAUCUCUCCAGCUCUAUUUAAAGAGCCUUAAAUGGCCGACCUCCAACACAAUUCCUCUCGGUAAUUCCGCAAGCCCGGCGCAAGGAGCUCUCCACCUUCAUCCUUCGAUUUCUUUUCUUUCUUUUCCCUUUUAUUUUUCUGUUUUUAAUUCAGCCAAUGAGUGGCUGAUUUCUUUAAUCUAGUUGGAUAUUGAUUGAAGAUUUAGUUGUUUAAUGGGUUGUGAGACUUGAUCAAAUAUUGUUUAACUUUUGGGUGUUUAAUAUUUAUGCAAUUUCAUACUUAAUUUUCAUAUUAUUUUGUUAUUGUGAUCUACGUUGAUUUUUUAUUGCAAAAUAAUUAUUUGUUAGUUUGAAUGAUUUAAGUCUGUAAUUGCUUAGAUUAUUCUUACAUAAGAACACUUGGCAUAAAAACCAAGGAAGUUGCAUGAUCUAGCGUUAUCUCCAUACGUUUGGGUAGCUAGGAUUAGAUCUCUCUAUUUCUUAAAGCAAUUGAUAGUUGUUUGUUGCUUGAGGCCCAAGGACGUUCCUUGGAAACUUAUUGAUUAGUAAUUAAUUAGAGGACGUUCCCUAAUUAAUUUAAUAAUAAGGAGAGAUAAUGGUGGUGAGAGGCUUCCUCCAUCUCCAUAACUAAUCUAUUGAAUCAACCCAAAAGAACAAAGUGUCUGUGAUAAAUCCCAACAACUAAAGUGGAUCCAAUACUUCAACUAGAGCUUUCUCAUUAUUGAUUACUUUUUAUUUAAUUAUUUGUUUUCCAUUAUUAUUCUCAUUAUUAGUUUACUACAAUCAAUCUCAAAUCCCCCCUGUUAUUUUUUUGAUCCCAAUUUUCAGUUUAUCUCAUUUGAUCCCACUUUCAGUCUUUUAUCUCAUUUUUAAUUUAUUAUCGUUUCAGUUUAUUUUCUUGGUCCUAAAAAAAGAAAUAGGUGAGUUCUCAAUUCUCUGUGGAUUCGAUCCUUUCACCACUAUCUGCAGUUGUAAAUUGUUGAUAACCAGAAAAGUUAUUUUUGACCGGCUUCGACAACCGCGAGUC
Molecule: long non-coding RNA, 4772 nt
Filed under: Manihot esculenta (cassava)
Lineage: Eukaryota; Viridiplantae; Streptophyta; Magnoliopsida; Malpighiales; Euphorbiaceae
Description: long non-coding RNA (MESC_LNC010814)
Source: RNAcentral